RNAcentral lists this ribosomal RNA (253 nucleotides) under uncultured bacterium. RNAcentral describes it as "partial 16S ribosomal RNA". It matches the Rfam family "Bacterial small subunit ribosomal RNA", at positions 524 to 776 of the family's 1533-position model. The record is from RNAcentral.
UACCUAGGUGGCAAGCGUUAUCCGGAUUUACUGGGUGUAAAGGGCGUGUAGGCGGGACUGCAAGUCAGAUGUGAAACCCAUGGGCUCAACCCAUGGCCUGCAUUUGAAACUGUAGUUCUUGAGUGAUGGAGAGGCAGGCGGAAUUCCGUGUGUAGCGGUGAAAUGCGUAGAUAUACGGAGGAACACCAGUGGCGAAGGCGGCCUGCUGGACAUUAACUGACGCUGAGGCGCGAAAGCGUGGGGAGCAAACAGG